Molecule: small nucleolar RNA, 144 nt
Organism: Castor canadensis (American beaver)
Lineage: Eukaryota; Metazoa; Chordata; Mammalia; Rodentia; Castoridae
Source: Ensembl
ACCCCCUGGCAAUGGGCAAAGAGACACCUCAUUGGUGGUGUUGCUCUUAUAUCAGUCAGGGGCAAAGUAGAUGACAGUCCUUUGUUCAUCCUGGCUUGAUGCCUGGAUCAGUGGCCAAAGCUGUUUCAUGCCUAGGGCACAAAA